Molecule: ribosomal RNA, 503 nt
Filed under: uncultured bacterium
Lineage: Bacteria
Description: partial 16S ribosomal RNA
Rfam family: Bacterial small subunit ribosomal RNA
Source: RNAcentral
AUUGAACGCUGGUGGCAGGCUUAACACAUGCAAGUCGAGCGGGGUGAUGGUGCUUGCACUAUCACUUAGCGGCGGACGGGUGAGUAAUGCUUAGGAAUCUGCCUAUUAGUGGGGGACAACAUCUCGAAAGGGAUGCUAAUACCGCAUACGUCCUACGGGAGAAAGCAGGGGAUCACUUGUGACCUUGCGCUAAUAGAUGAGCCUAAGUCGGAUUAGCUAGUUGGUGGGGUAAAGGCCUACCAAGGCGACGAUCUGUAGCGGGUCUGAGAGGAUGAUCCGCCACACUGGGACUGAGACACGGCCCAGACUCCUACGGGAGGCAGCAGUGGGGAAUAUUGGACAAUGGGGGGAACCCUGAUCCAGCCAUGCCGCGUGUGUGAAGAAGGCCUUAUGGUUGUAAAGCACUUUAAGCGAGGGGGAGGCUCUUUUGGUUAAUACCCAAGAUGAGUGGACGUUACUCGCAGAAUAAGCACCGGCUAACUCUGCGCCAGCCGCCGCAGUAA